This 1765-nucleotide long non-coding RNA is filed under the name Cottoperca gobio. Its description in RNAcentral is "lncRNA (ENSCGOG00000009613.1)". Lineage: Eukaryota; Metazoa; Chordata; Actinopteri; Perciformes; Bovichtidae. The record is from RNAcentral.
GCAGUAUUUCAAUGUGAACGGUUACACUCUGCCUGUCCUUGGACAAAGCAUGAUGGUGGACAUCUGGCCGAGCUCAACUCUUAUCCAGUCGAGGUGCAGAUCUCCGGGUGUCUGCCUCCCUUUGCCCUGCUCUGAAGAGGACACUUCCAGGAGGCGUUGUCUCUCUGCACACUGUCAAAACCGCCCGGGUACUUGUGGAUUUGCUGUGCAAAACAGGUCAUGUGUCUGUUUACAUAACGUUUCUGACCACGCCUGUGAUAUAUGCAUCUCUACAACAGAGAGCCGUUAUCAAUGCGCUGAGGCUCAGGGCAGUGUGCCUCUGUGGCUUAUAGCUGUGAUUCUUCCUCUAAUCUCCAUCCUGGUGAUUAUAGGAAUGUGUGUUGCCCUUCACAAAGUGAGGCGACAGAAAGCAGAGUGUCAGAAUGAUAGCUUGCCACAGAAAACAGAGCAAGGGACAGACAAUGUAGCGUUUUGUUUUGAUGACAACAGAAUGCUCACAGGUGCUGCGUCUGCAGAAAAUGAGAAACAAAACCCUCCAAUGAGUGCUGAUCAGCAGAGGUUAGGUGUGGAGUUUUACGGUGAUGCCAGUCCGUCAAGUGUUCAGCCGGUGUCCAACAGUGAGCUGGAGUAUUAUGAAAUCGGCAGCAUCUCUAGUGCACUUCAUUCAGACACUGCCUCACUGAACCUCAGCCAGCCUAAGCAUCUGUACAGCACAAAGUGUGUGAAAGCUGAUCCUAAACGGUGGGGAGAUUUGAGGAUGUUGUUAGCAGAAUUUAAGAAAGAACGCUCCAGUGAAGAGAGGGCAAAAAGUCAGAAGAAGCCUAAAGAUAUGACUUUCCUAAACAAGCAGUUGUUGACUAUUAUUGAUGUAGAGCACUCCCAGCAUACCCCACCUUGUCCCAAGAACAGGUUGGUACAAUCAGAGUUACUGGAUCCUGUACGAUGCCUCACUUUUGAAGAAAUUAGUAAACUAGACACUCCUCGGGAGAAAACAGUGUCACAUCAAGCAUCCCUGAGAUCUGGAGCUGCACAGUCCACCACGAACAUCGGGGCUUCAUCUGACAGUGAAACAGACAGCACAUUCCCCUGCUCGGAGUCUGAGUGCGGACAGUUUGCGUGCAGCUUCAGACAACAAGGCAUCUUGUCUGUCAGCUCAUUCUUAAAACACACCUGUCCCUCUGAUGCAGGUCAGGAUAAAGCUGAGAGUGCUCCCUUCAGUAUGUUUGAGCAAUGGGAAAAUAUUUUAAAUAUGCAUCUACCUUUUAGCAGCUAUGCUCCUGUAUUUGAGGAUAUAGCAUGUUUUCCCACUGAACACAGUCAUAACUGUGAUAUGCAAAGUGACAUUGAAGAAAUUAUUUGAUGGCCAUUAUAUAUGUGUCACUUAGUAUAAAAUAGUAAACAUUUAUGCAGUCUUUAUUAUUAUUAUUAUUAUUAUUAUUAUUAAUAAUAAUAUGUACAGUAGCUGAUCGUCACCUGUGCUUUAUUUGAUUGAUGUCUUGUACAUUAUAAGAUGGCACUGUUUUAGAUAGCUAAAAUAGACUUUCCCAAAGACCAACAGAGUGGCUGUGUUAAAUUCACAUUUACAGGCUUGUAGAACUGUCAAAAUUCAAGUCAUGUAGUAAUGUAAAGUAAUGUGUCCUUGUGGAGUGUGAAUAGAGAAUUACAUGUGUGCUGAAGUUGGAACCUGUGAGGCCCUUCAAUACAAUUACUGAAUGCAUUGGUCUGAAAUUCAGAAUAUUAAAAUGAAACACUCUGUUACACCUUG